RNAcentral lists this ribosomal RNA (226 nucleotides) under Triticum aestivum (bread wheat). Its description in RNAcentral is "partial small subunit ribosomal RNA". Lineage: Eukaryota; Viridiplantae; Streptophyta; Magnoliopsida; Poales; Poaceae. The record is from RNAcentral.
UAUGUCCUCUUUAGUAUAUAUACCACUUAGAACUAAAUAGAACAUUGUCAUAAUGGCCUCUAUAGGGACGUCUUUAACCGCGAGAACAUCGUAACUUCUUGGACUUGAAUAGUACCUUGUUGAAGUCAUCUUUUUAGGGACUCUUAUAACCGCGGAAUUAAGUUCACCUCAGUGAACUGGAUAGUGUGUUACUAAACAGACCACUUUAGGGAAGUUCGAAUAGCCG